RNAcentral lists this ribosomal RNA (253 nucleotides) under uncultured bacterium. RNAcentral's name for it is "partial 16S ribosomal RNA". It matches the Rfam family "Bacterial small subunit ribosomal RNA", at positions 524 to 776 of the family's 1533-position model. The record is from RNAcentral.
UACGAAGGGUGCUAGCGUUGUUCGGAAUCACUGGGCGUAAAGCGUGCGUAGGCGGCUUUGUAAGUCAGAGGUGAAAGCCUGGAGCUCAACUCCAGAACUGCCUUUGAGACUGCAUCGCUAGAAUCAUGGAGAGGUUAGUGGAAUUCCGAGUGUAGAGGUGAAAUUCGUAGAUAUUCGGAAGAACACCAGUGGCGAAGGCGACUAACUGGACAUGUAUUGACGCUGAGGUGCGAAAGCGUGGGGAGCAAACAGG